Colius striatus (speckled mousebird) is the source of this 429-nucleotide long non-coding RNA. RefSeq lists it as uncharacterized. NCBI's taxonomy places the organism in Eukaryota, Metazoa, Chordata, Aves, Coliiformes, Coliidae. The record is from RefSeq and is a predicted model, not a curated record. The transcript has 3 exons.
GUGGACUUCAACUAAGCUGAGAGCUGCCUAAGCACACAGUUAAACACCCUUGGUGCUGGGUGAAGAAGGUCUGAUAUCCAGCUAGUGCAGUGAGCUCAUCUGGAUCAUGAUGCCUGACGAUCUCUACAGCUGGCAGAUGAGAAGCACGGCUCCUCUCAGCAGCAACCCUGCUAGGUCACAAGGACAUGUGAAGUAACACAGGGACUACUGGCAUGACUUCAGUAACUACUGUAAACCGGCUCCCUAUCAUGAGACACAGCAACUGGUCCGAAACAAUGCAUGCAGGAAAAGGAUAUCAUAUUCAACUGGAAUUACAAGACUUCAGAUUUAGAGGAAGAGAUUAGAGAGAGAGCCUACCAUUAAAUCAAUUCACAAUGUCAGCAUGAAUUUCUCCUGCCCUUGUAUGCACCUCACGGUACAUUCCCAGUG